UGGGGAAUUUUGGACAAUGGGCGAAAGCCUGAUCCAGCAAUGCCGCGUGUGUGAAGAAGGCCUUCGGGUUGUAAAGCACCUUUGUCCGGAAAGAAAUCCUUGGCUCUAAUACAGUCGGGGGAUGACGGUAUCGGAAGAAUAAGCACCGGCUAACUACGUGCCAGCAGCCGCGGUAAUACGUAGGGUGCAAGCGUUAAUCGGAAUUACUGGGCGUAAAGCGUGCGCAGGCGGUUUGCUAAGACCGAUGUGAAAUCCCCGGGCUCAACCUGGGAACUGCAUUGGUGACUGGCAGGCUAGAGUAUGGCAGAGGGGGGUAGAAUUCCACGUGUAGCAGUGAAAUGCGUAGAGAUGUGGAGGAAUACCGAUGGCGAAGGCAGCCCCCUGGGCCAAUACUGACGCUCAUGCACGAAAGCGUGGGGAGCAAACAGGAUUAGAUACCCUGGUAGUCCACGCCCUAAACGAUGUCAACUAGUUGUUGGGGAUUCAUUUCCUUAGUAACGUAGCUAACGCGUGAAGUUGACCGCCUGGGGAGUACGGUCGCAAGAUUAAAAGCUC
Molecule: ribosomal RNA, 555 nt
Filed under: uncultured bacterium
Lineage: Bacteria
Description: partial 16S ribosomal RNA
Rfam family: Bacterial small subunit ribosomal RNA
Source: RNAcentral